This 249-nucleotide ribosomal RNA is filed under the name uncultured Actinomycetales bacterium. RNAcentral describes it as "partial 16S ribosomal RNA". It matches the Rfam family "Bacterial small subunit ribosomal RNA", at positions 82 to 334 of the family's 1533-position model. Lineage: Bacteria; Bacillati; Actinomycetota; Actinomycetes; Actinomycetales. The record is from RNAcentral.
CGGAGGUACUCGAGUGGCGAACGGGUGAGUAACACGUGGGUGAUCUGCCCUGCACUCUGGGAUAAGCCUGGGAAACUGGGUCUAAUACCGGAUAGGACCGCACUUUAGUGUGUGUUGUGGAAAGUUUUUUCGGUGUAGGAUGAGCCCGCGGCCUAUCAGCUUGUUGGUGGGGUAAUGGCCUACCAAGGCGGCGACGGGUAGCCGGACUGAGAGGUUGGUCGGCCACAUUGGGACUGAGAUACGGCCCAG